Molecule: ribosomal RNA, 933 nt
Rfam family: Eukaryotic large subunit ribosomal RNA
UAGAUACCCGCUGAACUUAAGCAUAUCAAUAAGCGGGAGGGAAAAGAAACCAACAGGGAUUACCUCAGUAACGGCGAGUGAAGCGGUAACAGCUCAAAUUUGAAAGCUAGCCCGCCCCGGGUUCGCGUUGUAAUUUGCAGAAGAUGCUUCGGGCGCGGCCCCGGUCUAAGUUCCUUGGAACAGGACGUCACAGAGGGUGAGAAUCCCGUACGUGACCGGGCGCCCGCGCCCGUGUGAAGCUCUUUCGACGAGUCGAGUUGUUUGGGAAUGCAGCUCAAAAUGGGUGGUAUAUUUCAUCUAAAGCUAAAUAUGGGCCAGAGACCGAUAGCGCACAAGUAGAGUGAUCGAAAGAUGAAAAGCACUUUGGAAAGAGAGUUAAACAGUACGUGAAAUUGUUGAAAGGGAAGCGCUUGCAACCAGACUUGCGCACGGGCGAUCACCCGGGCUUCUGCCCGGGGCACUCGUCCGCGCGCAGGCCAGCAUCGGUUCUGGUGGUGGGACAAAGGCCGGGGGAACGUAGCUCCCCUCGGGGAGUGUUAUAGCCCCCGGCGCAAUGCCGCCCACCGGGACCGAGGACCGCGCUCCGGCUAGGAUGCUGGCGUAAUGGUUGUAAGCGACCCGUCUUGAAACACGGACCAAGGAGUCUAACAUCUGUGCGAGUGUUUGGGUGCCAAACCCCUACGCGUAAUGAAAGUGAACGGAGGUGAGAACCCUGAAGGGCGCAUCAUCGACCGAUCCUGAUGUCUUCGGAUGGAUUUGAGUACGAGCACAGCUGUUGGGACCCGAAAGAUGGUGAACUAUGCGUGAAUAGGGUGAAGCCAGAGGAAACUCUGGUGGAGGCUCGCAGCGGUUCUGACGUGCAAAUCGAUCGUCAAAUUUGCGUAUAGGGGCGAAAGACUAAUCGAACCAUCUAGUAGCUGGUUCCUGCGGUUC